Molecule: long non-coding RNA, 1068 nt
Filed under: Canis lupus familiaris (dog)
Lineage: Eukaryota; Metazoa; Chordata; Mammalia; Carnivora; Canidae
Description: lncRNA (ENSCAFG00030002275.1)
Source: RNAcentral
AUGCACCGGGGGCGCGGAGGACGCCGGCUCAAGGAGGGGUCUCCUUGCCCGGGACGCGCGCGGGAGGCCGCUUUCGUGGCGGGUCGGGAGGCUGAGAGGGAGCGCGAGCCCUUCGACGUCCUCCCGGCCCGGGCCCACCUGCGCCCGCCCUCCCCGGGUCCCCCGGCGCCCGCCCCGGCGCCCGCCCCUCCCCCGAGCUGGGGACGGUGGCGGGAGCCGGGGGCCAACCAGCUCCCUCCUUCCUUCCGUCCCUCCCGCCUCGGCUCCCGCCCGCCGGCUCCGGGACCGCAGCCACGUCUGAAAGCGCCUCAUUGUGCGCGCUCUCCUCGGCGGCGGCGCGGGGCGGCGGCACCCGGCACGCGGGGGGCGCGGGGGGCGCGGGGGGCGCGCGGGGACUCGGGGGGCGCGGGGGACACGCGGGGACUCGGGGGGCGCGCGGGGACUCGGGGGGGCGCGGGGCCGCGGGGGCGCGCGGGGGCGGAGGUCCAGGGCCCGGGCAGGGGCGCGCGAGUCUGCGUCUGGCCGCUGCCCGGCGACUGCACCCCCACCCACCCCACACCCAUCCCGUCCCCACGACGCCUCCCGUUUGCCAAGACCCUCCUGCCCCGGUGCCCGCUCCCCGCCGCCCGAGAGCUCCCGGUGCCUCCGACGUCGGUAUCCGCCGCCCGGCGCCCGUCCUCCCCGAGCCUUCUCGCGGGUGUCCCCGGGAGCCCCUCGCCGGCCCUGGGAGCCUGCGGAGCGCGUCGGCCCCUGCGGACCCUCCGGCGAAGCCUGGCACCGGGAAGCGGCGAAGUCGGGGGCUCCUGCGGGACCCGGGAGAGAGGUGCCGCCUCCGCGCCGCGCCAGCUCGGGCCGGGGCGCCCGCUGCGGGGUACGUUGCUCGCUGCUCUCGGCCCGGGGCACCGACCUAGCCGGCAGUCGGGUCCGGGAGACGAUCAGAACGAGGCAAGGACCCUGCGACUCCAGGCGCCGGCUGCAAAGUGCGUUCCUGCGGCUUCCGCUCACCUGAGAUCGCUGCUGGGGAUCCCCAGACUCCCGAAACGUGAGAUUCCAAGGGCAGGGAAUUGA